RNAcentral lists this transfer RNA (69 nucleotides) under Eulepethus nanhaiensis. Its description in RNAcentral is "tRNA-Gln". It matches the Rfam family "tRNA". Rfam says of the family: Transfer RNA (tRNA) molecules are approximately 80 nucleotides in length. Their secondary structure includes four short double-helical elements and three loops (D, anti-codon, and T loops). The record is from RNAcentral. Lineage: Eukaryota; Metazoa; Annelida; Polychaeta; Phyllodocida; Eulepethidae.
UGUAAAACAGUGUACGGCGCACAUAGGUCUUUGACUCCUAAACCAGAGGUUCAACUCCUCCUUUUACAA